Molecule: ribosomal RNA, 492 nt
Filed under: uncultured bacterium
Lineage: Bacteria
Description: partial 16S ribosomal RNA
Rfam family: Bacterial small subunit ribosomal RNA
Source: RNAcentral
AGUGAACGCUGGCGGUAGGCCUAACACAUGCAAGUCGAACGGCAGCACAGUAAGAGCUUGCUCUUACGGGUGGCGAGUGGCGGACGGGUGAGGAAUACAUCGGAAUCUACUUUUUCGUGGGGGAUAACGUAGGGAAACUUACGCUAAUACCGCAUACGACCUACGGGUGAAAGCAGGGGAUCUUCGGACCUUGCGCGAUUGAAUGAGCCGAUGUCGGAUUAGCUAGUUGGCGGGGUAAAGGCCCACCAAGGCGACGAUCCGUAGCUGGUCUGAGAGGGUGAUCAGCCAGACUGGAAAGGAGACACGGUCCAGACUCCUACGGGAGGCAGCAGUGGGGAAUAUUGGACAAUGGGCGCAAGCCUGAUCCAGCCAUACCGCGUGGGUGAAGAAGGCCUUCGGUUUGUAAAGCCCUUUUGUUGGGAAAGAAAAGCAGCAGGUUAAUACCCCGCUGUUCUGACGGUACCCAAAGAAUAAGCACCGGCUAACUUCGUG